RNAcentral lists this ribosomal RNA (468 nucleotides) under uncultured bacterium. Its description in RNAcentral is "partial 16S ribosomal RNA". It matches the Rfam family "Bacterial small subunit ribosomal RNA", at positions 28 to 507 of the family's 1533-position model. The record is from RNAcentral.
GACGAACGCUGGCGGCGUGCUUAACACAUGCAAGUCGAACGGAAAGUCCCUGCUUUUGUGGGGUGCUCGAGUGGCGAACGGGUGAGUAACACGUGAGUAACCUUCCCUUGACUUUUGGAUAACUUCAGGAAACUUGGGCUAAUACCGGAUAGGAGCUCCUGCUGCAUGGUGGUUGUUGGAAAGUUUCGGCGGUGGGGGAUGGACUCGCGGCUUAUCAGCUUGUUGGUGGGGUAGUGGCUUACCAAGGCUUUGAAGGGUAGCCGGCCUGAGAGGGUGACCGGCCACAUUGGGACUGAGAUACGGCCCAGACUCCUAAGGGAGGCAGCAGUGGGGAAUAGUGCACAAUGGGCGGAAGCCUGAUGCAGCAACGCCGCGUGCGGGAUGACGGCCUUCGGGUUGUAAACCGCUUUCGCAUGUGACGAAGCGUGAGUGAAGGUAAUGGGUAAAGAAGCACCGGCUAACUACGUG